Molecule: non-coding RNA, 23 nt
Filed under: Arabidopsis thaliana (thale cress)
Lineage: Eukaryota; Viridiplantae; Streptophyta; Magnoliopsida; Brassicales; Brassicaceae
Source: RNAcentral
AGCGCACGGUAGCUUCGCGCCAC